CAGAACAGAAUAGAAAGCCACUACGUCAGUGUGCUGCAGGGUAGGAGGCGUGCUCUGGGGGCGAAGCAUUGGUGUGAUAGGUGCUGCAGCAGAAAUGGCAUCAACAAAGGGUUAAGAGGUAAGGACACGAACCCCUCAUAAGCCAACCCUCUGCUCCUCUGUGUCCUUCCUGUCAGACCUAGUUCAUAUGUAAGCAUGCUUUUAUUCUAGUUGUAACCCUACAUCACUGAAU
Molecule: long non-coding RNA, 232 nt
Filed under: Homo sapiens (human)
Lineage: Eukaryota; Metazoa; Chordata; Mammalia; Primates; Hominidae
Description: non-protein coding lnc-PPCS-4:1
Source: RNAcentral